ACUCAAAUGAAUAGACGGGAACCCGCACAAGUGGUGGAUCAUGCGGCUUAAUUCGAUUGUAAGCGAGGAACCUCACCAAGACUUGACAUGUAUUGUUCAAAUAGCGAAAGCUAUUGGCCCGCAAGGGCGAAUUACACAGGUGAUGCACGGUCGUCGUCAGCUCGUGUCGUGAGAUGUUCGGUUAAGUCCGAAAACGAGCGCAACCCUAAUCUCUAGUUAUGUAAUGUCUAGAGAGACUGCCUGGGUGUAACCAGGAGGAAGGCUAGGAUGACGUCAGAUCAGCGUGUCCCUUACGUCUUGGGCUGCACGCAUGAUACAAUGGGAAUAGGACAACGGGACGCUAAAUCGCGAGAUGGAGCAAAUCCCACAAACCUACCCUCAGUUCGGAUUGAAGUCUGCAACCCGACUUCAUGAAGCUGGAAUCACUAGUAAUCGCUAAUCAGCCUCGUAGCGGUGAAUACGUUCUCGGGUUUUGUACACACCGCCCGU
Molecule: ribosomal RNA, 489 nt
Filed under: uncultured bacterium
Lineage: Bacteria
Description: partial 16S ribosomal RNA
Rfam family: Bacterial small subunit ribosomal RNA
Source: RNAcentral